RNAcentral lists this transfer RNA (86 nucleotides) under Bolanusoides shaanxiensis. RNAcentral describes it as "tRNA-Trp". The record is from RNAcentral. Lineage: Eukaryota; Metazoa; Arthropoda; Insecta; Hemiptera; Cicadellidae.
UAUAAGUAACUUAAAGUAAAGAUUUUAAGUUAAAAAAACUAUUAACCUUCAAAGUUAGAAUUAUGUAAAUCUAAGCUUAAGUCUUA